Molecule: long non-coding RNA, 700 nt
Filed under: Nicotiana benthamiana
Lineage: Eukaryota; Viridiplantae; Streptophyta; Magnoliopsida; Solanales; Solanaceae
Description: long non-coding RNA (NBEN_LNC042110)
Source: RNAcentral
AAGAAAUCACAUAAACAAUAUAAUAUGAUAGCCCAUCAUAGAGAAGUAACUCAUUAAUUGAGAGAGAAAUAGAAUUAGACAACAAAAGAAAAAUAGAACAAAAGAAUAAGAAUUACAAGGAAAACGUUAAUAGAGGCAGUGAUUCCAAAUGUAGCAACUAUUUCGCUAAAAAAUAGACCACACAGAUGAUAAUAUCAACCACAAGAUGAUUUCAUAAAGUCAUUUAAUUAGCAACAAAGUAGGCAUAUAUAAUUUAUAUAAGUAAAAAAAAGAAUAAAAUGCAAGGAGUAAGAGAAGAGAAUUAGACCUUUCUUGGGCAAAAAAUCCUCUUGAUUUUGAUUAAGCAAAGAAAAAAAACUUAUACAGCAAGGAUGUCUAUCCGAGUUGAACCAUGAAAUAAAAUCUAACAAUAGCACUCCAUUGUAUUUUGAAUCUGGAGCGAGAAAAAUAAAGCAUAACGCUCGAACGAUACCACCACCAAUAAUAACUUCGAAUGAGAUUUAAAUCUGGAGAGCCAAUUCAAUCCAUUUUGAUUUGUAACUCAUUUAUGAUUUUAAGCUUAGAUAAUAAAGGAAGAUGGUGAUGAUGGAGCUUUAAUAACAGAAAGAGAAUUGUGUUGUGUGUGUUCGAUGGCAGAAGAAUGGAGAGGGUCGAAGAAGAUGAUGACCAGGGGGUGGGUUCGUUCUUUUGAGAAUUGCCG